This 88-nucleotide transfer RNA is filed under the name Acidobacteriota bacterium. RNAcentral's name for it is "tRNA-Ser". It matches the Rfam family "tRNA". From Rfam's summary of the family: Transfer RNA (tRNA) molecules are approximately 80 nucleotides in length. Lineage: Bacteria; Pseudomonadati; Acidobacteriota. The record is from RNAcentral.
GGAAGGUAUGCCAAAUAGGUUAUGGCAGUAGUCCUGAAAACUAUCGCGCUUUUGUCGCUUGCGGGUUCGAGUCCUGCGCCUUCCGCCA